GCGGGAGUAGCUCAGUUGGUAGAGCGCUAGCCUUCCAAGCUGGAUGUCGCGGGUUCGAGUCCCGUCUCCCGCUCCA
RNAcentral lists this transfer RNA (76 nucleotides) under bacterium ADurb.Bin429. Its description in RNAcentral is "tRNA-Gly". It matches the Rfam family "tRNA". Rfam says of the family: Transfer RNA (tRNA) molecules are approximately 80 nucleotides in length. The record is from RNAcentral. RNAcentral also lists the same sequence under 4 other names.